GUCCUCAGGAGAAGUGCAAUGAAAAUGGCUGCUACUGCAUCUCAGAAGGUGGGAACAAAACGUACCACUGUGUAGAUGACAACUCCUGUCUGCUCCCCAGGUCCAGCUGCUGCUCUGGAGAUUUUGUGUUUGAUAAUACCACCAAAUGCUGCGAAGAUGUUUUGGUAAUAAUUCCAGCUACCAUUAGCUCCCCUAGCUCUGCUGCUUUAGUGACAAAUGCUGCUAGUGACAGAAUCAGUGAAGCAGGUUUCUUAUUCCUUCUUUUGUUCUGGAGCAUGAUGUGAGCCAUGACAAGACAGAGUACCUCCUGCUCCUCUUUAUUGUUGGCUCAUAAUCUGUUUUUACUAAUGUGUAGCAAACAAUGUGCUGUAACAGCUUAUAUAAGAAAGGACUAUCAGUUGUGACUAUGAAGAUUUUCCUUCAUCCAGCCCCUUUAUCGUCAACGCAACCCAAUUUAGGAGGUUUCUACAAUGCUCUAACACCUUUUUAUCUGCAGCAAAGAAGUGUAUAGUGCAGAUCCCUGUAGCAAGUAUGGAUAUGUUCAUGAUUUCACUACAGGCUUUUUUUAGUUGACCAUUGGUUUGCAUCUGAGGAAGCAAUGGAAUGUUUAAAGCACAUGGUUCCUUAAUAUACAUG
Xenopus tropicalis (tropical clawed frog) is the source of this 636-nucleotide long non-coding RNA. RefSeq lists it as uncharacterized. The record is from RefSeq and is a predicted model, not a curated record. Lineage: Eukaryota; Metazoa; Chordata; Amphibia; Anura; Pipidae. The transcript is spliced from 4 exons.